This 444-nucleotide ribosomal RNA is filed under the name uncultured bacterium. RNAcentral's name for it is "partial 16S ribosomal RNA". It matches the Rfam family "Bacterial small subunit ribosomal RNA", at positions 354 to 796 of the family's 1533-position model. The record is from RNAcentral.
GUGAGGAAUAUUGGACAAUGGAUGGAAAUCUGAUCCAGCCAUGCCGCGUGCAGGAAGACGGCCCUAUGGGUUGUAAACUGCUUUUAUACGGGAGCAAUAAGGUCUAUGCAUAGAUUGAUGAGAGUACCGUAUGAAUAAGCAUCGGCUAACUCCGUGCCAGCAGCCGCGGUAAUACGGAGGAUGCGAGCGUUAUCCGGAUUUAUUGGGUUUAAAGGGUGCGUAGGCGGCUUUGUAAGUCAGCGGUGAAAUUUUGCAGCUUAACUGUAAAAGCGCCGUUGAUACUGUGAAGCUAGGAUUUGGUUGCUGUGGGCGGAAUGUGUGGUGUAGCGGUGAAAUGCAUAGAGAUCACACAGAAUAUCGAUUGCGAAGGCAGCUCACAAAGCCAAUAUUGACGCUGAGGCACGAAAGUGUGGGGAUCAAACAGGAUUAGAUACCCGGUAGUCC